This 101-nucleotide small nucleolar RNA is filed under the name Arabidopsis lyrata subsp. lyrata. Its description in RNAcentral is "Plant small nucleolar RNA R71". It matches the Rfam family "Plant small nucleolar RNA R71". Rfam says of the family: R71 is a member of the C/D box family of snoRNAs containing the C (UGAUGA) and D (CUGA) box motifs. The record is from Rfam by way of RNAcentral. Lineage: Eukaryota; Viridiplantae; Streptophyta; Magnoliopsida; Brassicales; Brassicaceae.
AAGCCAUGGUGAGGACAAUCACGUUCGUAGUCCUUAAACCGCUCCCACACGUCAAAGAAUGAUUUGACAUGUCCUUGUUGGAAACUUUUCUUCUUGUUCCU